This 395-nucleotide ribosomal RNA is filed under the name uncultured bacterium. RNAcentral's name for it is "partial 16S ribosomal RNA". It matches the Rfam family "Bacterial small subunit ribosomal RNA", at positions 361 to 774 of the family's 1533-position model. The record is from RNAcentral.
AUAUUGGUCAAUGGCAGGAACCCUGAACUAGCUAUACCACGUUUGGGACGCCGGUCCUGGGAUUUUAAACCUCCGUGGUCGGGGAAGAUAAUGACGGUACCCUACGGGGAAGCCACGGCCAACUACGUGCUAGCAGCCGCGGUAAUACGUAGGUGGCAAGCGUUGUCCGGAAUUACUGGGUGUAAAGGGAGCGUAGGCGGGAAGGCAAGUUGAAUGUUAAAGCUAUCGGCUCAACCGAUAGCCGCGUUCAAAACUGUCUUUCUUGAGUGAAGUAGAGGCAAGCAGAAUUCCUAGUGUAGCGAUGAAAUGCGUAGAGAUUAGGAGGAAUACCAGUAGCGAAGGCGGCUUGCUGGGCUUUUACUGACGCUGAGGCUCGAAAGUGUGGGGAGCAAACA